GCCGACGUAGCUCAGCUGGUAGAGCACAGUACUCGUAAUACUGGGGUCAUGGGUUCAAAUCCCAUCGUCGGCU
RNAcentral lists this transfer RNA (73 nucleotides) under Anaerolineaceae bacterium. RNAcentral describes it as "tRNA-Thr". It matches the Rfam family "tRNA". Rfam says of the family: Transfer RNA (tRNA) molecules are approximately 80 nucleotides in length. Their secondary structure includes four short double-helical elements and three loops (D, anti-codon, and T loops). Lineage: Bacteria; Bacillati; Chloroflexota; Anaerolineae; Anaerolineales; Anaerolineaceae. The record is from RNAcentral. RNAcentral also lists the same sequence under 3 other names.